CGGCACGGACUCGCGGUCGCGGAGCCGCUGUCCGAAGCCAGUUAAAUGAUUUGGUGCUAUAGUGCGUCCUCUGAAUUUUUUCGUUCAUACCCUACAUAAUUGUGUUGUCCAGCUGAUAAUUACAGGAAUGCUUCAAGACACUAUAGACUAACGUUUCGCCGGUUCAGUGCUACAAUUUUAUGCAAGUCAUGUUUCGUUUGUGAAAAUUAUGGAAUACUCCUGAAUCAUUGGCACUUCCGAAGUUCAAGGACAACGCUGACUCUGGAGCGAACGGACAGGCAGGCAGGCAGAGGAAAGCACCGGGGAUCGGCAGAUAUGCAAAAAGUUAUGGGGAGUCUCACUUUUAUGCAGAGCAUAGAUAUAAAUUACUCUUGUCAUUUUAAAGAGACCUACUAAUCUUGGCUCAACACCAGACAGAAGUUUAGCUCUUAAAGUCUAUCUUAUUGAGAAUACCAAGGAUGCCCUGCUAUUGGGGGGAUAAGCUGAACCCAUCUCCCAUGAACCACACCUGCAUUCGGCCUCAGUCCACUCCAGUCAGUGACCUCGGACGGAUGUCCCAGCCUUCCAUUAGGCCUACCACGGCGCUACUGGCGCGCCCAGACCUGAGACAAAGCCGACGCCGCAUUCUACAAAGGUCCACUUACUUACGGC
This is a long non-coding RNA of Macrobrachium nipponense, 651 nucleotides long. RefSeq lists it as uncharacterized. The record is from RefSeq and is a predicted model, not a curated record. NCBI's taxonomy places the organism in Eukaryota, Metazoa, Arthropoda, Malacostraca, Decapoda, Palaemonidae. The transcript is spliced from 4 exons.